This 481-nucleotide ribosomal RNA is filed under the name uncultured eukaryote. RNAcentral describes it as "partial 18S ribosomal RNA". It matches the Rfam family "Eukaryotic small subunit ribosomal RNA", at positions 592 to 975 of the family's 1831-position model. The record is from RNAcentral.
CAGUAGUGUAUUAUAACGUUGUUGCAGUUAAAAAGCUCGUAGUCGGAAUGAAAGUUGAUGUUUUGGUGCGGCGGGCGUGCAGUCCGCAGCAAUGUGGGGAUCCGCAAGGAUUGAGACGGAUGUCUGGCGCACCUAUUUAUAGAUGUCGACGAAUGAUUGUUUACACCGCAACGUCUGUUUAUUCAUUUAGAUGGGCGCUCAAGAGGUUUUCUGCCGGGUGGUGGGGAGCUGUGCGGUGUAGAAGGUCACCUUGAGUAAAGUAGAGCGUUCAAAGCAGGUUUUUUUGUAACCAUUGUAUAAUUCAGCAUGGGAUGACGUAAUAUGUUCUUGCCGCUGUGCAGCGGCCGCGGUUGCGCGCGGCGGUGGGAAAAUGAUUGAUAGGGAUGACUGGGGACAUUCGUAUUGAGAGGCUAGAGGUGAAAUUCAGUGAUUCUUUCAAGACGAACAUAAGCGAAAGCAUCUGUCAAGGGCGUUUUCGUUG